Molecule: transfer RNA, 75 nt
Filed under: Shigella sp.
Lineage: Bacteria; Pseudomonadati; Pseudomonadota; Gammaproteobacteria; Enterobacterales; Enterobacteriaceae
Description: tRNA-Val
Rfam family: tRNA
About the family: Transfer RNA (tRNA) molecules are approximately 80 nucleotides in length. Their secondary structure includes four short double-helical elements and three loops (D, anti-codon, and T loops).
Source: RNAcentral
GGUGAUUAGCUCAGCUGGGAGAGCACCUCCCUUACAAGGAGGGGGUCGGCGGUUCGAUCCCGCAUAGCUCCACCA